UAAAGACCUGUAUCAUCUUCGUGAG
Molecule: unclassified non-coding RNA, 25 nt
Filed under: Mus musculus (house mouse)
Lineage: Eukaryota; Metazoa; Chordata; Mammalia; Rodentia; Muridae
Description: oocyte_clustered_small_RNA690
Source: RNAcentral